RNAcentral lists this ribosomal RNA (489 nucleotides) under Paraflabellula sp. COHH 73. Its description in RNAcentral is "SSU rRNA". It matches the Rfam family "Eukaryotic small subunit ribosomal RNA", at positions 693 to 1176 of the family's 1831-position model. The record is from RNAcentral. Lineage: Eukaryota; Tubulinea; Elardia; Leptomyxida; Flabellulidae.
UACGCACUGUUUGUCUAUUUCCUUCUUUGACAUAUACAAUUUAUUGUGUUGUCAAUCUUUUACUUUGAAAAAAUUAGAGUUUCAAAGCAGGCGUAACAAAGCCUUUGAAUAUAUUAGCAUGGGAUAAUGAAAUAAGACUUUUUGCCUUAUUCUCGUUGGUUCUUAGGGAUAAAGUAAUGAUUAAUAGGGAUAGUUGGGGUCAUUAGUAUUUAAUUGUCAGAGGUGAAAUUUUAAGAUUUAUUAAAGACUAACUACUGCGAAAGCAUUUGACAAGGAUGUUUUCAUUAAUCAAGAACGAAAGUUGGGGGAUCGAAGAUGAUCAGAUACCGUCGUAGUCUCAACCAUAAACUAUGCUGACCAAGGAUUCGGGGGUGUUAUAUGAAUGACCCUCCGGGCACUUAUAGAGAAAUCAUAAGUAUUUGGGUUCCGGGGGGAGUAUGGUCGCAAGGCUGAAACUUAAAGGAAUUGACGGAAGGGCACAACAAGGAG